GGUAAUGUGGCUUAGUGGUAGAGUGCUUGCCUAGCAUGCAUAAAGCCCUGGGUUCAAUUCACUAGUACCA
This 70-nucleotide transfer RNA is filed under the name Dipodomys ordii (Ord's kangaroo rat). It matches the Rfam family "tRNA". Rfam says of the family: Transfer RNA (tRNA) molecules are approximately 80 nucleotides in length. Lineage: Eukaryota; Metazoa; Chordata; Mammalia; Rodentia; Heteromyidae. The record is from Rfam by way of RNAcentral.